CUGCCAACCUACCUAUCGCUGCUAAUCUAUCGCUGCUGCCAACCUACCUACCGCUGCCAACCUACCUAUCGCUGCCAACCUACCUACCACUGCUAAUCUAUCGCUGCUAAUCUAUCACUGCUAAUCUAUCGCUGCCAACCUACCUACUGCUGCCAACCUACCUAUCACUGCCAACCUACCUACCACUGCUAAUCUAUCUAUUGCUGCUAAUCUAUUGCUGCUAAUCUAUCUAUUGCUGCUAAUCUAUUGCUGCUAAUCUAUCUAUUGCUGCUAAUCUAUUGCUGCUAAUCUAUCACUGCUAAUCUACCUACCACUGCUAAUCUAUUGCUGCUAAUCUAUUGCUGCUAAUCUAUCACUGCCAACCUACCUACCACUGCCAACCUACCACCGCUGCAAAUCUAUCACUGCUGUCAAUCUAUAUAGGGUAAAUCAUGGUCCCAUUUGUUUACAAAAUGGGACCAAAUGGAACCAGAAUCACUAAUUUAUUAGUAAAACAUGAUCUGGGACUAGAUUUAUAAUAUAAACAGUGUAAAGUGACUAAUUUACUAAAUACUAUAUGGGACUAGGACUAAGAUAUCUAAUAAUGGGACU
RNAcentral lists this small RNA (591 nucleotides) under Histoplasma capsulatum. Its description in RNAcentral is "hypothetical RNA". The record is from RNAcentral. Lineage: Eukaryota; Fungi; Ascomycota; Eurotiomycetes; Onygenales; Ajellomycetaceae. RNAcentral also lists the same sequence under 1 other name.